This 1255-nucleotide ribosomal RNA is filed under the name uncultured Acinetobacter sp. RNAcentral's name for it is "bacterial SSU rRNA". It matches the Rfam family "Bacterial small subunit ribosomal RNA", at positions 78 to 1328 of the family's 1533-position model. The record is from RNAcentral. Lineage: Bacteria; Pseudomonadati; Pseudomonadota; Gammaproteobacteria; Moraxellales; Moraxellaceae.
GCUUGCUACCUGACCUAGCGGCGGACGGGUGAGUAAUGCUUAGGAAUCUGCCUAUUAGUGGGGGACAACAUUCCGAAAGGAAUGCUAAUACCGCAUACGCCCUACGGGGGAAAGCAGGGGAUCUUCGGACCUUGCGCUAAUAGAUGAGCCUAAGUCAGAUUAGCUAGUUGGUGGGGUAAAGGCCUACCAAGGCGACGAUCUGUAGCGGGUCUGAGAGGAUGAUCCGCCACACUGGGACUGAGACACGGCCCAGACUCCUACGGGAGGCAGCAGUGGGGAAUAUUGGACAAUGGGCGAAAGCCUGAUCCAGCCAUGCCGCGUGUGUGAAGAAGGCCUUUUGGUUGUAAAGCACUUUAAGCGAGGAGGAGGCUACUUGGAUUAAUACUCUAGGAUAGUGGACGUUACUCGCAGAAUAAGCACCGGCUAACUCUGUGCCAGCAGCCGCGGUAAUACAGAGGGUGCGAGCGUUAAUCGGAUUUACUGGGCGUAAAGCGUGCGUAGGCGGCUUUUUAAGUCGGAUGUGAAAUCCCUGAGCUUAACUUAGGAAUUGCAUUCGAUACUGGGAAGCUAGAGUAUGGGAGAGGAUGGUAGAAUUCCAGGUGUAGCGGUGAAAUGCGUAGAGAUCUGGAGGAAUACCGAUGGCGAAGGCAGCCAUCUGGCCUAAUACUGACGCUGAGGUACGAAAGCAUGGGGAGCAAACAGGAUUAGAUACCCUGGUAGUCCAUGCCGUAAACGAUGUCUACUAGCCGUUGGGGCCUUUGAGGCUUUAGUGGCGCAGCUAACGCGAUAAGUAGACCGCCUGGGGAGUACGGUCGCAAGACUAAAACUCAAAUGAAUUGACGGGGGCCCGCACAAGCGGUGGAGCAUGUGGUUUAAUUCGAUGCAACGCGAAGAACCUUACCUGGUCUUGACAUAGUAAGAACUUUCCAGAGAUGGAUUGGUGCCUUCGGGAACUUACAUACAGGUGCUGCAUGGCUGUCGUCAGCUCGUGUCGUGAGAUGUUGGGUUAAGUCCCGCAACGAGCGCAACCCUUUUCCUUAUUUGCCAGCGAGUAAUGUCGGGAACUUUAAGGAUACUGCCAGUGACAAACUGGAGGAAGGCGGGGACGACGUCAAGUCAUCAUGGCCCUUACGACCAGGGCUACACACGUGCUACAAUGGUCGGUACAAAGGGUUGCUACCUAGCGAUAGGAUGCUAAUCUCAAAAAGCCGAUCGUAGUCCGGAUUGGAGUCUGCAACUCGACUCCAUGAAGUCG